UACGAAGGGGGCUAGCGUUGCUCGGAAUGACUGGGCGUAAAGGGCGCGUAGGCGGCCUGGACAGUCGGAUGUGAAAUUCCUGGGCUCAACCUGGGGGCUGCAUCCGAGACGUUUGGGCUGGAGUGGGGAAGAGGGUCGUGGAAUUCCCAGUGUAGAGGUGAAAUUCGUAGAUAUUGGGAAGAACACCGGUGGCGAAGGCGGCGACCUGGUCCUUGACUGACGCUGAGGCGCGAAAGCGUGGGGAGCAAACAGG
This 253-nucleotide ribosomal RNA is filed under the name uncultured bacterium. RNAcentral describes it as "partial 16S ribosomal RNA". It matches the Rfam family "Bacterial small subunit ribosomal RNA", at positions 524 to 776 of the family's 1533-position model. RNAcentral also lists the same sequence under 1 other name. The record is from RNAcentral.